UAACACAUGCAAGUCGAGGGGCAGCACAGGUAGCAAUACCGGGUGGCGACCGGCGCACGGGUGAGUAACGCGUAUGCAACUUGCCUAUCAGAGGGGGAUAACCCGGCGAAAGUCGGACUAAUACCGCAUGAAGCAGGGGCCCCGCAUGGGGAUAUUUGCUAAAGAUUCAUCGCUGAUAGAUAGGCAUGCGUUCCAUUAGGCAGUUGGCGGGGUAACGGCCCACCAAACCGACGAUGGAUAGGGGUUCUGAGAGGAAGGUCCCCCACAUUGGUACUGAGACACGGACCAAACUCCUACGGGAGGCAGCAGUGAGGAAUAUUGGUCAAUGGGCGUAAGCCUGAACCAGCCAAGUCGCGUGAGGGAUGAAGGUUCUAUGGAUCGUAAACCUCUUUUAUAAGGGAAUAAAGUGCGGGACGUGUCCCGUUUUGUAUGUACCUUAUGAAUAAGGAUCGGCUAACUCCGUGCCAGCAGCCGCGGUAAUACGGAGGAUCCGAGCGUUAUCCGGAUUUAUUGGGUUUAAAGGGUGCGUAGGCGGCCUUUUAAGUCAGCGGUGAAAGUCUGUGGCUCAACCAUAGAAUUGCCGUUGAAACUGGGGGGCUUGAGUAUGUUUGAGGCAGGCGGAAUGCGUGGUGUAGCGGUGAAAUGCAUAGAUAUCACGCAGAACCCCGAUUGCGAAGGCAGCCUGCCAAGCCAUUACUGACGCUGAUGCACGAAAGCGUGGGGAUCAAACAGGAUUAGAUACCCUGGUAGUCCACGCAGUAAACGAUGAUCACUAGCUGUUUGCGAUACACUGUAAGCGGCACAGCGAAAGCGUUAAGUGAUCCACCUGGGGAGUACGCCGGCAACGGUGAAACUCAAAGGAAUUGACGGGGGCCCGCACAAGCGGAGGAACAUGUGGUUUAAUUCGAUGAUACGCGAGGAACCUUACCCGGGUUUGAACGCAUUCGGACCGAGGUGGAAACACCUUUUCUAGCAAUAGCCGUUUGCGAGGUGCUGCAUGGUUGUCGUCAGCUCGUGCCGUGAGGUGUCGGCUUAAGUGCCAUAACGAGCGCAACCCUUGCCACUAGUUACUAACAGGUAAAGCUGAGGACUCUGGUGGGACUGCCAGCGUAAGCUGCGAGGAAGGCGGGGAUGACGUCAAAUCAGCACGGCCCUUACAUCCGGGGCGACACACGUGUUACAAUGGCGUGGACAAAGGGAAGCCACCUGGCGACAGGGAGCGAAUCCCCAAACCACGUCUCAGUUCGGAUCGGAGUCUGCAACCCGACUCCGUGAAGCUGGAUUCGCUAGUAAUCGCGCAUCAGCCAUGGCGCGGUGAAUACGUUCCCGGGCCUUGUACACACCGCCCGUCAAGCCAUGGGAGCCGGGGGUACCUGAAGUCCGUAACCGAAAGGAUCGGCCUAGGGUAAAACUGGUGACUGGGGCUAA
Molecule: ribosomal RNA, 1428 nt
Filed under: uncultured organism
Description: 16S ribosomal RNA
Rfam family: Bacterial small subunit ribosomal RNA
Source: RNAcentral